This 504-nucleotide ribosomal RNA is filed under the name uncultured bacterium. RNAcentral's name for it is "partial 16S ribosomal RNA". It matches the Rfam family "Bacterial small subunit ribosomal RNA", at positions 30 to 523 of the family's 1533-position model. The record is from RNAcentral.
AUUGAACGCUGGCGGCAGGCCUAACACAUGCAAGUCGAACGGUAGCACAGAGAGCUUGCUCUCGGGUGACGAGUGGCGGACGGGUGAGUAAUGUCUGGGAAACUGCCCGAUGGAGGGAGAUAACUACUGGAAACGGUAGCUAAUACCGCAUAACGUCGCAAGACCAAAGUGGGGGACCUUCGGGCCUCACACCAGCGGAUGUGCCUAGAUGGGAUUAGCUAGUAGGUGGGGUAAUGGCUCACCUAGGCGACGAUCCCUAGCUGGUCUGAGAGGAUGACCAGCCACACUGGAACUGAGACACGGUCCAGACUCCUACGGGAGGCAGCAGUGGGGAAUAUUGCACAAUGGGCGCAAGCCUGAUGCAGCCAUGCCGCGUGUAUGAAGAAGGCCUUCGGGUUGUAAAGUACUUUCAGCGGGGAGGAAGGCGGUGAAGUUAAUAACUUCACUGAUUGACGUUACCCGCAGAAGAAGCACCGGCUAACUCCGUGCCAGCCGCCGCAGUAA